AGCUCAGUCGGUAGAGCAGGGGACUGAAAAUCCCCGUGUCGGCAGUUCGAUUCUGCCCCUGGCCA
RNAcentral lists this transfer RNA (65 nucleotides) under Gammaproteobacteria bacterium. Its description in RNAcentral is "tRNA-Phe". It matches the Rfam family "tRNA", at positions 9 to 71 of the family's 71-position model. From Rfam's summary of the family: Transfer RNA (tRNA) molecules are approximately 80 nucleotides in length. Their secondary structure includes four short double-helical elements and three loops (D, anti-codon, and T loops). The record is from RNAcentral. Lineage: Bacteria; Pseudomonadati; Pseudomonadota; Gammaproteobacteria.